ACGAACGCUGGCGGCGUGCUUAACACAUGCAAGUCGAACGGAAAGGCCCUGCUUUUGUGGGGUGCUCGAGUGGCGAACGGGUGAGUAACACGUGAGUAACCUGCCCUUGACUUUGGGAUAACUUCAGGAAACUGGGGCUAAUACCGGAUAGGAGCUCCUGCUGCAUGGUGGGGGUUGGAAAGUUUCGGCGGUUGGGGAUGGACUCGCGGCUUAUCAGCUUGUUGGAGGGGUAGUGGCUUACCAAGGCUUUGACGGGUAGCCGGCCUGAGAGGGUGACCGGCCACAUUGGGACUGAGAUACGGCCCAGACUCCUACGGGAGGCAGCAGUGGGGAAUAUUGCACAAUGGGCGGAAGCCUGAUGCAGCAACGCCGCGUGCGGGAUGACGGCCUUCGCGUUGUAAACCGCUUUCGCCUGUGACGAAGCGUGAGUGACGGUAAUGGGUAAAGAAGCACCGGCUAACUACGUG
RNAcentral lists this ribosomal RNA (467 nucleotides) under uncultured bacterium. Its description in RNAcentral is "partial 16S ribosomal RNA". It matches the Rfam family "Bacterial small subunit ribosomal RNA", at positions 29 to 507 of the family's 1533-position model. The record is from RNAcentral.